RNAcentral lists this transfer RNA (73 nucleotides) under Actinomycetes bacterium. RNAcentral describes it as "tRNA-Gly". It matches the Rfam family "tRNA". Rfam says of the family: Transfer RNA (tRNA) molecules are approximately 80 nucleotides in length. Their secondary structure includes four short double-helical elements and three loops (D, anti-codon, and T loops). Lineage: Bacteria; Bacillati; Actinomycetota; Actinomycetes. The record is from RNAcentral. RNAcentral also lists the same sequence under 2 other names.
GCGGGUGUAGCUCAGUUGGUAGAGCUCCAGCCUUCCAAGCUGGUUGUCGCGGGUUCGAAUCCCGUCGCCCGCU